Molecule: ribosomal RNA, 164 nt
Filed under: Lopezia laciniata
Lineage: Eukaryota; Viridiplantae; Streptophyta; Magnoliopsida; Myrtales; Onagraceae
Description: 5.8S ribosomal RNA
Rfam family: 5.8S ribosomal RNA
About the family: 5.8S ribosomal RNA (5.8S rRNA) is a component of the large subunit of the eukaryotic ribosome. It is transcribed by RNA polymerase I as part of the 45S precursor that also contains 18S and 28S rRNA. Functionally, it is thought that 5.8S rRNA may be involved in ribosome translocation.
Source: RNAcentral
AAAACGACUCUCGGCAACGGAUAUCUCGGCUCUCGCAUCGAUGAAGAACGUAGCGAAAUGCGAUACUUGGUGUGAAUUGCAGAAUCCCGUGAACCAUCGAGUUUUUGAACGCAAGUUGCGCCCUAAGCCUUUCGGCCGAGGGCACGUCUGCCUGGGCGUCAAUC